UGCCGCGUGAGUGAAGAAGGCCUUCGGGUUGUAAAGCUCUUUCAGUUAGAAAAGAAAAAACUAGUAACUAAUAAUUAUAGUUUAUGACGGUAUCAACAGAAGAAGCACCGGCUAACUACGUGCCAGCAGCCGCGGUAAUACGUAGGGUGCAAGCGUUAAUCGGAAUUACUGGGCGUAAAGGGUGCGCAGGCGGUUCUGUAAGUCAGAUGUGAAAUCCCCGGGCUUAACCUGGGAACUGCGUUUGAAACUGCAGAGCUAGAGUGCGGCAGAGGGAGGUGGAAUUCCAUGUGUAGCAGUGAAAUGCGUAGAGAUAUGGAAGAACAUCGAUGGCGAAGGCAACCUCCUGGGGCUAGCACUGACGCUCAUGCACGAAAGCGUGGGGAGCAAACAGGAUUAGAUACCCUGGUAGUCCACGCCCUAAAACUAUGUCAACUAGUUGUCGGGCCUUAUUAGGUUUGGUAACGUAGCUAACGCGUGAAGUUGACCGCCUGGGGAGUACGGUCGCAAGAUUAAAAACUCAAAGGAAUUGACGGGGA
RNAcentral lists this ribosomal RNA (536 nucleotides) under uncultured bacterium. Its description in RNAcentral is "bacterial SSU rRNA". It matches the Rfam family "Bacterial small subunit ribosomal RNA", at positions 395 to 919 of the family's 1533-position model. The record is from RNAcentral.